GUUUGAAAUAUCGUUUGAAAUAGUGAAAGCGCUUGGGAGAGGGAUGCUACGCACAGUUUCUCUCCUUGCCCUGGCCCCAGUCGAAGUCGAAUAGCAGGAAAAAGCAAUCGGGCCGACAAUUAUGCCCGAGAUUUAACAUUCCAAAGCUCAAGUCUCUAGGAGAAAUCCCAAACUGAAAAGGGUCGGCUCAAAUGGAAGCGACCGACUUACGUGCAACUCCGAGGGAAAGGAACUAGAAACAGAAAUAAAUACGUGAGUUGAUGGAAA
This is a long non-coding RNA of Ornithorhynchus anatinus (platypus), 267 nucleotides long. RefSeq lists it as uncharacterized. The record is from RefSeq and is a predicted model, not a curated record. The transcript has 2 exons. Lineage: Eukaryota; Metazoa; Chordata; Mammalia; Monotremata; Ornithorhynchidae.